RNAcentral lists this long non-coding RNA (3368 nucleotides) under Sus scrofa (pig). Its description in RNAcentral is "lncRNA (ENSSSCG00015063530.1)". The record is from RNAcentral. Lineage: Eukaryota; Metazoa; Chordata; Mammalia; Artiodactyla; Suidae.
AUAAAUCAAGGCCUUGACAACUGUAAAGGUCUCAUGUUUAUCCCCCUCAAAUCAUCUAAUUAUACUAAGACGAUAACAAAUGAUUCUUUGAAGGAGAAAAAGUCGAAGGAGUAGAUUUUGAGGGAUAAGCACAGCUAAAUCAAAUGGUUUGGAUGAAGGCAGAAGAGACUUUGAUUCCCAAUGACUCAUCUCUUUAUUUCAGCACCUUGUUCCAGGCAAGGCAUUUGGUAGAGCAGUAUUUUGUGCCCAAGAAUGAAAUUUUCACAUCAAUCCCAGAUUUACAUGACUAAAUUACUGCAAUUUCUGGGUAAAUAGUGGCUUCCCAAAGUUCUGGCUGUUUUCCUGUGUGACAACAUUCUGAAAAUUCCUCAAGGGUUUGGCCUCCAUUAAUUUCAAUUCAAGACUCAUCCCUCCUAGUCUAUAUCCCUCAGAAUAGUUUUUAAAAAUUUAGGUCCCCUCAAAAUGAGCCACUACCACUAACAGGAAGCACAGAAAAAAAAAAAAGACUUCUAGCCUCCUUCUAGAGAAAUCUGGGCCCUGGGAUAGAGAGGAUUGGAGGAGUCUCAGUUUUCCAGUCCAAUUUUGAUUUUACAAAUAGGGAGAGUGAAGUCUGUAGAAUGGACUUGCUCACAGAGUCCAAAGACAUCAAUGUAGAAGUAAAACUUCACCAGGUCUAGUUCCAAAGACCAGGCUCUUCCAAAUACCCCACAGUGUCCUCCAGUUUACCGCCUGAAUAUUAGUUUUCUUUUCAAUCAAAUGAGAUAGGUGUUGGAAGGCUUCUAGAUCCAUAAUUAUGUUUUUGGAUCACUAGAGAACAAGUAACUCUUUUAUUAUUACCUUAAUACUGGUAAUUCACUGAUUAAUACUGCUAAAUCUAUAAAAGCUUCAGUGCCCUAAUCUCAACUUUUUUAUUUCACAAAAAUGGGAUAACAAUACCUAUGUUACUGAAAUGUCAUAAUGGUUAAGUGAUAUGAUGGAAGUGGAAGUGUUUUGAAGGCAAUAAAGUAACCACAAGGAUGAUACAGGAAGAGGGAAAGGAAGAAGAAUCUUUUCUCCAGUCUCGUCCUUCCUCCUUCAUUUGCUAAGUGCCUGAAGGAGCAUCUUUUUCACAAGAGUCAAGAUCUGCCUGAGACUCACUCACAAGUCAAUCAACAGAAUAGGGAAUAAAAUUCAUGGAAUAAGAACACAACUUUAUCACUUUUGUCUCCUGUCUGGUUUUGUUAACCAGCAUCAGGGAAAAAAAUCAACAGAGGCAGUGAGUGGGCCUCUCUAAAAAGGCCUUUCCAUCUGGUGCAGCAUGGAAACCAUCAGCCCUGUAAUUAAAAUGCAAUUGCCAUCCCCUGCCGCAAUCCCAGGAUGGCUAUUCCAUCUGAAUGAGAUAUAGGGGGGAAAGCACCAUUUUUUGCACUAUUCUGGCUCCAUUAAGUUUAUUCUCUUCCUAUUAAUUAAUCUAACUACACUAGGGGCUCCUCCUUACUCUGCAAACCAGGGUGGCACAAACCACACAUGGGAUAUCGGAAAUGACAUGAAUUUUUAAAACUCAAUGCCCGCCCCCACUACAGAAAGGCUUAAUUACUUCUGACUAAAUCUGUAAUUAAAAUAUAUCACUGGAGUAGAUUCACCUGCAUGUGUAGGUGUUGGUGUACCCGCCUGUGUGACAGGCUGAGAUGAAUCACCCAGAGACAGCGUGCAGGGAAUGAAAUUGUGCUCGGUGGCACAAUGAUUCUGAGAGAGAACUUGAAGAGGAAAGUUAGAAAAAGUGGGAAAAUAUACAAGAGAAAUCCAGUGAAGUCUUACAUUAGAAAUAAAAGUGAUAACAUAUCCAAAGGCUAAUCAUGACAGUGAAGCCAUUUGCUGGGGUGAAAGUAAACUAUAAUAGGUGGUGACAGGGAAUGAGGUUGAAUGUUGAAGGCAGCCAAAGGUAGAAGGAAAAGCAAUGAUGAAGGCGAGCCAAGGUUGUAGUUAUAUAGCAUGAGCCAUAGAGGAAAGACGAAACUAGAAACAGGAAAGUGGGGAAAAGGUUGAAAACCCAAGAAGAUAGAUUCAGAAAUAGAGCAAUGAGCAGUGUGUGCUUGGGUCUCCACUUUAAAUGUUGUCUAGAUGUGUUAUACAGUAAGGCAUGGGAGAUUAAAUGAUAUAUUUCAGACCAGAGCAUUAUAAGAAAGAAAAGUACUGAAUUAUUCAAUAAAGGGGUCUAGUACUGGUUCUGCUACACAUAAUUCAUCUGGUCCUGGAUAAGUCACCUCCCGUUAGGGCAAUUCCCUUGUCUGUAAAGUGGGAGCAAUAAUAUUGAUCUUAUGUACUGACCCACUGUAAACAUCUAUGCAUCCAUGAAAGCACAAGUCACAUCAACUCUAAGAUGAGCAGUACCACCUGGAGUUGUGCAAUGCGAGAUUACUAUGAAAUCUGAAUAUGGCUUGAAAAGGGAAGGCUCUUUGCAGUAAAAAAUAUGUAUAAAUGCUUUGUAUUUUUAGGUUGUAUGACAUUAAGCUACAUACUGUCCUUUUUUGAGUUUAUUCAUAUUGAUAGUAAAGAUGUUGAACUAGAUGAUAUUUUUAAAGGCUUUUUCAAUUCUAAUAUUAAUAGUAUAAUAACUUGGAUUUCAUUCAUUCACUCAUUCAACCAAAAUUCAACUGGGCCCUAAGCCAGGUGCCGAAAAUUAAAAAUAAUUGAGGAAUAUUCCUUUCCUCUAGUGGAUGUUAUACUAUAUAAGGUCCUUUUAGGUAAGGCAAUUGAUGCUUUUCAAUUGUAUUUUUCUAGGCCCUAAUUUCAAGCACAAUGAUUGAAUUAUAACACUCCAAAAUAUUCAGCUAAUAAGAAUAAGGAACUGCAAAAUUUAAAGGACAUUUAAAAUUAAGCAAAGUCUCAUCUUUAGACAAAUAGAAUUAUUCUGAAAGUUGUCAGAUUAUUUUAACAGGGAGUACUGGACUGGGAUUCAGAUCAACUGAGCUCCAGUCUCAGCUCUACUUCUAAACACUAUGAUACCUGAGUCAAGUCACUUAGUCUCCCACGGCAUCAGCUUCCUACUGAUCAAAUAAGAGAUUGGGCCAACCCAGAGGGUCUUUGAGCUUAAAGCUUUGGGAUCUAUAUUUUAACUAGACCACUAUCAAGCCAUUUUUAAUAAUUUUGCCUUGGAGUACACACAACACAUAAAUAUGUUGGCAAAAUACACUUACCUGAAAAAUGCCCAAAUCCUUUCUGACAUCUCAUAAAUUACCCUUAAGUACUGCAAAUAAUUGAUAAUUCCUGAUAAACCAAAUAAGAGUUGUAAACAUUACAUUUACAGACAUAUUAAGUUACCAUUGAACCAGUUCUUCCAAACUGCUUUAUAGUAAUUUUGAUUUAAACUGCUUCGGAGAAGCUAAACA